This 235-nucleotide small RNA is filed under the name Oryza sativa Japonica Group (Japanese rice). RNAcentral describes it as "sRNA Os08g0260200". The record is from RNAcentral. Lineage: Eukaryota; Viridiplantae; Streptophyta; Magnoliopsida; Poales; Poaceae.
CGAUGACGGCGGAGGAGGCGAGGUCAGCCGCGGAGGAGGCGAGGCGGCGGCGAGGCAGGCAGAAAGGCGGCGGCGGCGACGAGGCGAGCGCGAGGCAGGGCGGAGGGGCGGCGGCGAGGCGAGCGCGGCGGCGGAGGAGGCGAGGCGGCAGCGAAUGACCUGGAGCCUGCCCCGGCCCUACCACGCCCCGCCACGCUCGACACCCGCCGCGCCCGCCGCCGCGCUCGCCGCCCGU